GACGAACGCUGGCGGCGUGCUUAACACAUGCAAGUCGAACGGAAAGGCCCCUUUGGGGGUACUCGAGUGGCGAACGGGUGAGUAACACGUGAGUAACCUGCCCUUGACUUCGGGAUAACUUCCGGAAACUGGGGCUAAUACCGGAUAGGAAUCCUUGCUGCAUGGUGGGGGUUGGAAAGCUUCGGCGGUUUUGGAUGGACUCGCGGCUUAUCAGCUUGUUGGUGGGGUAGUGGCUUACCAAGGCUUUGACGGGUAGCCGGCCUGAGAGGGCGACCGGCCACAUUGGGACUGAGAGACGGCCCAGACUCCUACGGGUGGCAGCAGGGGGGAAGAUUGCACAAUGGGCGGAAGCCUGAUGCAGCAACGCCUCGGGCGGGAUGACGGCCUUCGGGUUGUAAACCGCUUUCAGCAGGGGCGAAGCUUGUGGUGACGUUACCUGCAGAAGAAGCACCGGCUAACUACGUG
Molecule: ribosomal RNA, 465 nt
Filed under: uncultured bacterium
Lineage: Bacteria
Description: partial 16S ribosomal RNA
Rfam family: Bacterial small subunit ribosomal RNA
Source: RNAcentral